RNAcentral lists this ribosomal RNA (479 nucleotides) under uncultured bacterium. RNAcentral's name for it is "partial 16S ribosomal RNA". It matches the Rfam family "Bacterial small subunit ribosomal RNA", at positions 28 to 507 of the family's 1533-position model. The record is from RNAcentral.
GAUGAACGCUCGCGGGAGGCCUAACACAUGCAAGCCGAGCGGUAUUGUUUCUUCGGAAAUGAGAGAGCGGCGUACGGGUGCGUAACACGUGUGCAACCUGCCUUUAUCUGGGGGAUAGCCUUUCGAAAGGAAGAUUAAUACUCCAUAAUAUAUUGAACGGCAUCGUUUAAUAUUGAAAGCUCCGGCGGAUAGAGAUGGGCACGCGCAAGAUUAGCUAGUUGGUGAGGUAACGGCUCACCAAGGCGAUGAUCUUUAGGGGGCCUGAGAGGGUGAUCCCCCACACUGGUACUGAGACACGGACCAGACUCCUACGGGAGGCAGCAGUGAGGAAUAUUGGUCAAUGGGUGCAAGCCUGAACCAGCCAUCCCGCGUGAAGGACGACUGCCCUAUGGGUUGUAAACUUCUUUUGUAUAGGGAUAAACCUACCCUCGUGAGGGUAGCUGAAGGUACUAGACGAAUAAGCACCGGCUAACUCCGUG